Molecule: unclassified non-coding RNA, 424 nt
Filed under: soil metagenome
Description: partial contains 5.8S ribosomal RNA, internal transcribed spacer 2, and large subunit ribosomal RNA
Rfam family: 5.8S ribosomal RNA (bases 1-120)
Source: RNAcentral
GAUGAAGAACGUAGCGAAAUGCGAUAAGUAGUGUGAAUUGCAGAAUUCCGUGAAUCAUCGAAUCUUUGAACGCACAUUGCGCCUUCUGGUAUUCCGGAAGGCAUGCCUGUUCGAGAGUCAUUAACAACCGUUUCGAUCCCUUUCUUUCAGAAAUUACAAAGAGGAAAAGGGUUUGGUUAUGGUGGAGGAGGGAAAGGGAGCGUUUAGCCUGUAAAAAAAGAGGCUGUGUUCCGCCUCCCCCCCAAAAUUGUACAGGCGGUCGUGUGCGCCCACGCAUCGAGGUGUUGUAAAAGCUGCCACGGCACUUUUCACCUGUGCAGUGCGAGAUUGGCCAGCCGGUUUAAAAACCCCUCCAAACAAUCAAAGGUUGACCUCGGAUCAGGUAGGGAUACCCGCUGAACUUAAGCAUAUCAAAAGCGGAGGA